UACGUAGGGUGCGAGCGUUGUCCGGAAUUAUUGGGCGUAAAGAGCUCGUAGGCGGUGUGUCACGUCGGCCGUGAAAACCUGCAGCUUAACUGUGGGCGUGCGGUCGAUACGGGCAUCACUGGAGUUCGGCAGGGGAGACUGGAAUUCCUGGUGUAGCGGUGAAAUGCGCAGAUAUCAGGAGGAACACCGGUGGCGAAGGCGGCAUCCUGGACCGGCAUUGACGCUGAAUAGCGAAAGCCAGGGGAGCAAACGGG
Molecule: ribosomal RNA, 254 nt
Filed under: uncultured bacterium
Lineage: Bacteria
Description: partial 16S ribosomal RNA
Rfam family: Bacterial small subunit ribosomal RNA
Source: RNAcentral